UACAGAGGGUGCGAGCGUUGUCCGGAAUCACUGGGCGUAAAGGGCGCGUAGGCGGUGGCUUAAGCGUGUGGUGAAAGCUCGGGGCUCAACCCCGAGUCGGCCGUGCGAACUGGGUCACUGGAGCAGAUCAGAGGCAGGCGGAAUUCCGGGUGUAGCGGUGGAAUGCGUAGAGAUCCGGAAGAACACCGGUGGCGAAGGCGGCCUGCUGGGAUCUUGCUGACGCUGAGGCGCGACAGCGUGGGGAGCAAACAGG
Molecule: ribosomal RNA, 253 nt
Filed under: uncultured bacterium
Lineage: Bacteria
Description: partial 16S ribosomal RNA
Rfam family: Bacterial small subunit ribosomal RNA
Source: RNAcentral